This 379-nucleotide ribosomal RNA is filed under the name uncultured eukaryote. Its description in RNAcentral is "partial 18S ribosomal RNA". It matches the Rfam family "Eukaryotic small subunit ribosomal RNA", at positions 592 to 975 of the family's 1831-position model. The record is from RNAcentral.
CAAUAGUGUAUAUUAAAGUUGUUGCGGUUAAAAAGCUCGUAGUUGGAUUUCUGCUGAGAACGACCGGUCCGCCCUCUGGGUGUGUAUCUGGCUCUUUCUUGGCAUCUUCUUGGUGAACGUUGCUGCACUUGACUGUGUGGAGCGCUACCCAGGACUUUUACUUUGAGGAAAUUAGAGUGUUUCAAGCAGGCAUACGCCUUGAAUACAUUAGCAUGGAAUAAUAAGAUAGGACCUCGGUUCUAUUUUGUUGGUUUCUAGAGCUGAGGUAAUGAUUAAUAGGGAUAGUUGGGGGCAUUCGUAUUUAACUGUCAGAGGUGAAAUUCUUGGAUUUGUUAAAGACGGACUACUGCGAANGNAUUUGCNAAGGAUGUUUNCAUUG